This 61-nucleotide non-coding RNA is filed under the name Heterosigma akashiwo. The record is from RNAcentral. Lineage: Eukaryota; Raphidophyceae; Chattonellales; Chattonellaceae.
GAAGACCAAAGGGACAGAAAUGGCUGCCAUUGAAGCGAAGAAAACAAGCCUGAGCACCAGC